GAUGAACGCUGGCGGCGUGCCUAAUACAUGCAAGUCGAGCGAACGGACGAGAAGCUUGCUUUUCUGAUGUUAGCGGCGGACGGGUGAGUAACACGUGCAUAACCUACCUAUAAUACUGGGAUAACUUCGGGAAACCGGAGCUAAUACCGGAGAAUAUUUUGAACCGCAUGGUUCAAAAGUGAAAGACGGUUUUGCUGUCACUUUUAGAUGGAUCCGCGCUGCAUUAGCUAGUUGGUAAGGUAACGGCUUACCAAGGCAACGAUGCAUAGCCGACCUGAGAGGGUGAUCGGCCACACUGGAACUGAGACACGGUCCAGACUCCUACGGGAGGCAGCAGUAGGGAAUCUUCCGCAAUGGGCGAAAGCCUGACGGAGCAACGCCGCGUGAGUGAUGAAGGUCUUCGGAUCGUAAAACUCUGUUAUUAGGGAAGAAAAUAUGUGUAAGUAACUGUGCACAUCUUGACGGUACCUAAUCAGAAAGCCCCGGCUAACUACGUG
This 497-nucleotide ribosomal RNA is filed under the name uncultured bacterium. RNAcentral describes it as "partial 16S ribosomal RNA". It matches the Rfam family "Bacterial small subunit ribosomal RNA", at positions 28 to 507 of the family's 1533-position model. The record is from RNAcentral.